AGAAAGAAUUGAAGGUAAUAUACGAAUAAGUAUCGACUAACUCUGUGCCAGCAGUCGCGGUAAGACAGAGGAUACAAGCGUUAUCCGGAUUUAUUGGGUUUAAAGGGUGCGUAGGCGGUUUUUUAAGUCAGUAGUGAAAUCUUAAAGCUUAACUUUAAAAGUGCUAUUGAUACUGAAAAACUAGAGUAAGGUUGGAGUAACUGGAAUGUGUGGUGUAGCGGUGAAAUGCAUAGAUAUCACACAGAACACCGAUAGCGAAAGCAAGUUACUAACCCUAUACUGACGCUGAGUCACGAAAGCAUGGGGAGCAAACAGGAUUAGAUACCCUGGUAGUCCAUGCCGUAAACGAUGAUCACUAACUAUUGGGUUUUGUACGUUGUAAUUCAGUGGUUAAGCGAAAGUGUUAAGUGAUCCACCUGAGGAGUACGACCGCAAGGUUGAAACUCAAAGGAAUUGACGGGGGCCCGCACAAUCGGUGGAGCAUGUGGUUUAAUUCGAUGAUACACGAGGAACCUUACCAAGACUUAAAUGUACUACGAAUAAAUUGGAAACAAUUUAGUCAAGCGACGGAGUACAAGGUGCUGCAUGGUUGUCGUCAGCUCGUGCCGUGAGGUGUAAGGUUAAGUCCUUUAAACGAGCGCAACCCUUAUUAUUAGUUGCCAUCGAGUAAUGUCAGGGGACUCUAAUAAGACUGCCGGCGCAAGCCGAGAGGAAGGUGGGGAUGACGUCAAAUCAUCACGGCCCUUACGUCUUGGGCCACACACGUGCUACAAUGAUCGGUACAAAAGGGAGCGACUGGGUGACCAGAAGCAAAUCCAGAAAGCCGAUCUCAGUUCGGAUUGGAGUCUGAAACUCGACUCCAUGAAGCUGGAAUCGCUAGUAAUCGUGCAUCAGCCAUGGCACGGUGAAUAUGUUCCCGGGCCUUGUACACACC
Molecule: ribosomal RNA, 934 nt
Filed under: Candidatus Karelsulcia muelleri
Lineage: Bacteria; Pseudomonadati; Bacteroidota; Flavobacteriia; Flavobacteriales
Description: bacterial SSU rRNA
Rfam family: Bacterial small subunit ribosomal RNA
Source: RNAcentral